RNAcentral lists this long non-coding RNA (2857 nucleotides) under Mytilus galloprovincialis (Mediterranean mussel). Lineage: Eukaryota; Metazoa; Mollusca; Bivalvia; Mytilida; Mytilidae. The record is from RNAcentral.
AGAUAUUGAACCAGACUGUUCCAAUACAGUACAUGAUGUAGUACGUACCACAUCCUAUGGUUCCUUAUUUUUGGGUACACAGGACAUUUGUACCUCAUACAUGGUAGGUUUGUAUUCUGUUUAAUGCUUCGAUUUGAAAAUUAUAUAUUGUCUAAUAUAUAAACCAAUUGAGAUAUCUUAUCAUGCAUAUAAACUAAAAAGGAUACAUUGUAUAUUACAUGAUAUAUCUUAUAUCUCUAAUUUUUCGUCAAUUCAUCCUUUUUUGCACCCAUUUAAUCAAUGUGUGGUUCGUUUGAUCUCAGUUAUUCAUUGGUAAAAAUCCAAUUAUGACCUUGAAUUUUCUUGCUUUGCUCUGGAUUUCCUAUUGUGACGGCAUGAAAAAAAGGCUACCAUACCUGAUGACGUCACAUUUUGCAGAUCAUACAAAAAGAAGGAAUUAGUUUGCCUGCAUAUUGUUUGAAAAUCAUUAGGGAAACAGAUUCCACCACCAAAUCUUGUGCAAUACGAUAGUUAUCCACUCUCGACAUUUAUAUUUUGAGUAUUAAAAAAACUUGGCAAACCUCACCUUUUAAUUUGAAAAUUUAACUGUCAUGUAUAAAUAUCGUAUCACACUCAGUUCAGCAGUAGAAUCUAUAUAUAAUAUUGGAUGAGAUAUCUAUUAACAUUUUAUUAGGGUAUCUGUUUUAAUUUAUUAAUUAUCUCUUUUUAGUUGAAAGAUAACUUACUGAGUAAAAAAGAUAUCUUGUUUAUCUAAACUGAUAUCUUAUUACUAUUUUUUCAGAAAUAUCUUAUAAACUUGUAUCUUCAGCAUCAGCAGUUUUUCAGAAUAAAAUAUAUAUAUAUACAAAUUUAAUUAAAUAUAUGAUGUUUGGUAGUUGUCGUUUGUUGAUGUGGUUCAUAAGUGUUUCUAAUUUUUUAUAUAGAUUAGAUUGGUUUUCUCGUGUUAAUAAAUGGUUUUGCACUAGUAAUUUUUUGGGCCCGUUGUAGCUAAGCUGUUCAGUGUGGGCCAGGUCUCUGAGUUGAAGAUAUACUUUGACCUAUAAUGGUUUACUUUUAUAAAUUGUGACUUGGAUUGAAAGUUGUCUCAUUGGCACUCAUACCCCAUCUUCUUACCGGUAUAUCUAUUUAAGCUAAAUAAUAAGAUAAGAAUUACCAAAUUUAUAAAUUAAAAAAGAUAUUGUGUAAACUAAAACAAUAUCCUACAAAUUGAUUUAUAUAUCUUGCAAAGUAAAUAAUAAAUGUAGUAUUUUUUAUGUCAUAUCUUAUUUUAAUUUGAGUUUAAAAAGACAUCUUAAAUACUUGGCCAGAUGAGAUAUUUUUGUCUGCCCUUUGGUGAAGUCAAAAAGCCAGACAUAGGUAUGUAGAUUCUGGCGGCGGUGACAGCAACAAUAUAUUAGUUUGUGGUUAGGCAUAGUUUAUGGUGAACCACAAAUGGUAGGUCAAUCAUAUUUGGUCUGCAGUUGUGUAAGCAUUAGCAUAUCUCAUUUUCAUGGAGAUUAUUUGGCCCUGCCCCCUCAGUCAUGGUCUAUUGACUUCGAAACCUUUGCUUAUUUUACAUGUAUUACUUUGUGAUUAGGUCAGUUAAUGGGGAACCACAGGUAGUAGGUCAAUGAUAUUUGGUAUGCACUUGUAUGAGCAUUGGCAUAUCUCAUUUCCAUGGAGAUGAUUUGGCUCUGUCCCCAUUGUCAUGGUCUAUUGACUUUGAAAGUUUUUGUAAGUUAUCAUGUAUUAGUUUGAUUAGGUCAGUUCAAGGGGAACCAUUAGUGGUAGGCCAAUGUAAAUUGGUAUUCAGUUGUAUAAGCAUAGGCACAUCUCAUUUCCAUGGAGAAUAUUUGGCCUCGCCCCUCAGUCAAAGUCUAAUGACUUUGAAACUUAUCUUAAUUUACAUGUAUUAUUUUUUUUAUUAGAUCAGUUUAAGAUGAACUGCUAAUGUUAAAUCAAUGAUAUUUGGUAUUCAAAUUUAUUUACAUUUGCAAGUAUUGUUUCCAUGGAGAUUAUAUAGCCCCACCCCCUCUUUAUGCUUCAUUGACUUUGAAACUUUUACAUAGUUUACAAGUUAAUUUUUGCAUUUAGGUUUGGGAACGACUUAUAAUAAGUCAAUGGUAUUUGGUAUGCAGUUGUAUUAGCAUUGGCACAUCUAAAAUACUUGGAGAUUGUUUAGCCAUGUAACUCGGUCAUGGUUCAUUGACUUUGAAUAUUUGCAUAACUUGUGUAAGAUGUUAAAGUAUUGCUAUUUUGAUUUCAACAUUUGAAUAAUCAAAAUUACAAAAAGGCAAGACAUAUAUCUCUGUGAUAACAAUUUACAAAAUGUAUAAAAAGUUAACAUUACAUACUUUACUGUACUGUGACUUAUAGUUGUCAAUUUCUGUGGCAUUUGGUCUUGUCUCUUGUUGAAAGUUGUCUUAUUGGCAAUCAUUCCACAUCUUUUUUAGAAACAUUUACCAUUCAAAAUUGAUCAAACUAAACUUGUAAUAUGAAUGGCUGAUUAAACUCAAACAAGCAUACUUUAGGGAUUAUAAAUGUUAUUUUUACUUUUCAGUAUGUUGAGAGUAGUUCAGAACAAGCUAUUUUGUUUGCAGAGGAGUUGUCAAGACGUCAUCUUUGAAUAAAGUCAAUUGUAUUAGAAGUGAAGCCUCAACAGAAAUGAGACAAUAAUCAAAUAAUUUAAAGACUACAUGGAUGUUAUCUGGACUAGCAUUUGUAUGACCUAAAUGUGGUAUUUUUCAUAUGAAGACUUACAAGGCAAAUAAUAGCCUGUGACAAACAAUUGUAUCCAUUUAAAGACUUGAAGAACUUGUACUGUCUUCUUCAGAUUUCAGUAGAAUUUGUUAAAUCUGGGUAUGAAUUGAAGAUUUUU